This 856-nucleotide ribosomal RNA is filed under the name Bacillus subtilis. Its description in RNAcentral is "bacterial SSU rRNA". It matches the Rfam family "Bacterial small subunit ribosomal RNA", at positions 24 to 861 of the family's 1533-position model. Lineage: Bacteria; Bacillati; Bacillota; Bacilli; Caryophanales; Bacillaceae. The record is from RNAcentral.
UCAGGACGAACGCUGGCGGCGUGCCUAAUACAUGCAAGUCGAGCGGACAGAUGGGAGCUUGCUCCCUGAUGUUAGCGGCGGACGGGUGAGUAACACGUGGGUAACCUGCCUGUAAGACUGGGAUAACUCCGGGAAACCGGGGCUAAUACCGGAUGCUUGUUUGAACCGCAUGGUUCAAACAUAAAAGGUGGCUUCGGCUACCACUUACAGAUGGACCCGCGGCGCAUUAGCUAGUUGGUGAGGUAAUGGCUCACCAAGGCAACGAUGCGUAGCCGACCUGAGAGGGUGAUCGGCCACACUGGGACUGAGACACGGCCCAGACUCCUACGGGAGGCAGCAGUAGGGAAUCUUCCGCAAUGGACGAAAGUCUGACGGAGCAACGCCGCGUGAGUGAUGAAGGUUUUCGGAUCGUAAAGCUCUGUUGUUAGGGAAGAACAAGUACCGUUCGAAUAGGGCGGUACCUUGACGGUACCUAACCAGAAAGCCACGGCUAACUACGUGCCAGCAGCCGCGGUAAUACGUAGGUGGCAAGCGUUGUCCGGAAUUAUUGGGCGUAAAGGGCUCGCAGGCGGUUCCUUAAGUCUGAUGUGAAAGCCCCCGGCUCAACCGGGGAGGGUCAUUGGAAACUGGGGAACUUGAGUGCAGAAGAGGAGAGUGGAAUUCCACGUGUAGCGGUGAAAUGCGUAGAGAUGUGGAGGAACACCAGUGGCGAAGGCGACUCUCUGGUCUGUAACUGACGCUGAGGAGCGAAAGCGUGGGGAGCGAACAGGAUUAGAUACCCUGGUAGUCCACGCCGUAAACGAUGAGUGCUAAGUGUUAGGGGGUUUCCGCCCCUUAGUGCUGCAGCUAACGCAUA